ACCUAUUCAAUUUCAGCAACUAGGCUUGACAUAAUUACUAGAACAAAUAAAUCCAAUCGAUAGUCACACAUCAAUGGAUCCAUAGGAUCACACCAAGCAAAAAUACCACAUAUGUAUGAGAUCAAAAAAGAAAAUAAUAGAUAGAAAAGGGGAUUUGCCUCAAACAGAAUUCGAAAUUCAAAAUCUCGGGUUGUUUUGAAGAUUACAAGCAAUAAGAUCACGAACGAAAACUCACAAUCAACAAAACGACCGAACUUCGCAGGAGAAACUCGAAUCUCGCCAACGAACUCGAACUCAGCUAAACCUCAAUCAAAUCCCAUAAUUUUGAAAUGGAAAGAAAAACAAAAUGACCCAAAAGAAAAACAAAAUGACCCGAAAGAAAUGAAGUUGUCGUAGCAGCAACGAAAAUCGAACGAAAACGGCAACUAGACUCCGAACAUGAACCAGCCUGAAUUUGGUUGGCACGAAUGGAAACAAUGACUCUGAAUCUCGAUGGAAACUAGUGAACGACAAUGAAUCCGAAUCCACUUUGUUUUGGAGAGGUUGGUGAGUUGAUGUGAGGAUGGCUAAUUUUUCAAAAGGCGAAGGGAAUAUGUUCCCUACAUCCAGAAAUCAUGAUAAAAUUGAAUCGUCACCUCUGUCCCUUCGCACUAUGUUUUUCACUCUAUCCUCUCACUGUUCAGUCACUUUCUAUGUGUGUAUGCAUAUUUUCCGUCAAACUUCAGUGGAAAAGGUCUGGGGUGCAGCGGAUAUGAGAGGAGGGAGUUGGGGUCGCUACUCUUUGUGUUAGGCUUUUCGUGUGUUUAGGUUGAAAAAGAAAACCUUCAGGGGGUGGUUGGUUUUGUUCAAGAAGAAACCAUGGAAGUGGGGGUCUCUAUGUUUACCCCUGAAGAAGAGGACGAACGGGGUGGGAGGAUCUGAAAUUGUUCUGCGGCGGCUCUGAUCUCCCUGGGGUCUAGGAAAUUAGAUAUUUUCUUUUUACCAUUAAAUGAAGAGUAUGUAGAGUUAGGCUAGUGGGUAUUAGGUAUUGGUCUUGGGUUGUUAUGGGCUAGGUCCAAAAAUUAUGCCUAAAAAUGGGUUGCUAGAGCCCAAAUUUAUUCUUUCUCCGUGAACUAGACUAAAAUACGACCCCAUUUACUAGUUAUUUCUACUUAUGUAAAAUAACUAUUAAAAUAAGAUUAACC
RNAcentral lists this long non-coding RNA (1184 nucleotides) under Nicotiana benthamiana. RNAcentral describes it as "long non-coding RNA (NBEN_LNC029107)". The record is from RNAcentral. Lineage: Eukaryota; Viridiplantae; Streptophyta; Magnoliopsida; Solanales; Solanaceae.